This 88-nucleotide transfer RNA is filed under the name Rhodoferax sp. RNAcentral's name for it is "tRNA-Ser". It matches the Rfam family "tRNA". Rfam says of the family: Transfer RNA (tRNA) molecules are approximately 80 nucleotides in length. Their secondary structure includes four short double-helical elements and three loops (D, anti-codon, and T loops). The record is from RNAcentral. Lineage: Bacteria; Pseudomonadati; Pseudomonadota; Betaproteobacteria; Burkholderiales; Comamonadaceae.
GGAAGCUUGGCAGAGUGGUCGAUUGCACCGGUAUUGAAAACCGGCAAACCGAAAGGUUUCUAGGGUUCGAAUCCCUAAGCUUCCGCCA